ACGGUUGACCUCGGAUCAGGUAGGAAUACCCGCUGAACUUAAGCAUAUCAAUAAGCGGAGGAAAUC
This 66-nucleotide ribosomal RNA is filed under the name Verticillium dahliae. RNAcentral's name for it is "partial 28S ribosomal RNA". It matches the Rfam family "Eukaryotic large subunit ribosomal RNA", at positions 1 to 61 of the family's 3401-position model. Lineage: Eukaryota; Fungi; Ascomycota; Sordariomycetes; Glomerellales; Plectosphaerellaceae. The record is from RNAcentral.